Molecule: ribosomal RNA, 200 nt
Filed under: uncultured bacterium
Lineage: Bacteria
Description: partial 16S ribosomal RNA
Rfam family: Bacterial small subunit ribosomal RNA
Source: RNAcentral
GGUAGCGGGGGAUAGCCCGGAGAAAUCCGGAUUAAUACCGCAUAAUCUCUACGGAGCAAAGUGGGGGAUCUUCGGACCUCACGCUAUUAGAUGAGCCCGCGUUAGAUUAGCUUGUUGGUGAGGUAAUGGCUCACCAAGGCAACGAUCUAUAGCUGGUUUGAGAGGAUGAUCAGCCACACUGGGACUGAGACACGGCCCAG